Molecule: transfer RNA, 73 nt
Filed under: archaeon
Lineage: Archaea
Also listed under: 1 other name
Description: tRNA-Glu
Rfam family: tRNA
About the family: Transfer RNA (tRNA) molecules are approximately 80 nucleotides in length. Their secondary structure includes four short double-helical elements and three loops (D, anti-codon, and T loops).
Source: RNAcentral
GCCCCUUUCGUAUAGAGGACAAGUAUGGUUGACCUUCACUCAACAGACCAGGGUUCGAAUCCCUGGAGGGGCA